AUUUCCAGCCUUAUGUUGUGGCUUCUCAUGGACCUAUACAGAGCAAGAAUGGAGGGGUCUGGAGAAUGGGGAGAUCAUUUGACAUUGCAGGCAGCUGCUGAUAAGGUUUGCUAUGCAGAGAUAUUUGCUCUCAUUCCCUAAGAAUUGGAUCUCACUCAAUCUGACAAAUAACUUGUAUGCAUGUUUGUUUUUAUGCAUUCUGUGCAUGACCAUGAUUGAAGAGCAUGCAAGCAUCUCUCUUAAAUGUGAGUGUUCCUGAAGAACAAAUUAAAUGUGCUUCAAGAGCAUGCAAGCAUCUCUCUCUCUUGCAG
Long non-coding RNA from Arachis stenosperma, 311 nucleotides. RefSeq lists it as uncharacterized. The record is from RefSeq and is a predicted model, not a curated record. The transcript is spliced from 3 exons. NCBI's taxonomy places the organism in Eukaryota, Viridiplantae, Streptophyta, Magnoliopsida, Fabales, Fabaceae.